UACAGGGGGGGGCAAGCGUUGUUCGGAAUUACUGGGCGUAAAGGGUCUGUAGGUGGCCAACUAAGUCAGACGUGAAAUCCCUCAGCUUAACUGUGGAAACUGCUUGGUAUACUGCCAGUCUUGAGCCACUUAGGGGCUACCGGAACAAAUGGUGGAGCGGUGAAAUGCGUAGAUAUCAAUUUGGAACGCCAAUGGUGAAAACAGGGUAGCUGGGGAGUGAUGCUGACGUGGAGACACGAAAGCCAGGGGGAGCAAAACGGGGA
This 263-nucleotide ribosomal RNA is filed under the name uncultured bacterium. RNAcentral describes it as "partial 16S ribosomal RNA". It matches the Rfam family "Bacterial small subunit ribosomal RNA", at positions 524 to 779 of the family's 1533-position model. The record is from RNAcentral.